This 274-nucleotide unclassified non-coding RNA is filed under the name Hevea brasiliensis (rubber tree). The record is from RNAcentral. Lineage: Eukaryota; Viridiplantae; Streptophyta; Magnoliopsida; Malpighiales; Euphorbiaceae.
AAAAUAAGCUCGAUCAAGGUCUGUUUAUAAUCCGAAAUCAAACUGAUAUAAUUCAUCACAUACCUUGUCAAGGGAUGAAUUGUUCCUCCAGGCACUGGAACCAAUGAAGGUUCACGCAAAACAGCAUUCUCAAACUCUGACAAAAUCCCUCUUGCAGCCUCGGCCAAUCUUGACAAAAUCUCUGCAGCCUGGACUCGAAACGAAUCAGCUGAUUUCGAUUCGAAAACCACCUCAAUGUCAGGCACCAAGUCCAUUAAAGCAUCAUGUAAGUCCA